UAACUGUUAGGUGAGGGACCCAAUGAUGACUUUGCACCUACUUGUGAACGAUGGAUCUGACUUAACUAAAGAGUAUGGGCAAUAACUGUUAGGUGAGCUCACAUGACUUAGAGAUCAAGUCACUGCAACAUGCUUAAAAAAGCAUCUGGAUAAUGAGUUAUCCAUGCAUCGGUGUGCAUGUUACCAAUAAUUGUUAGGUGAGGUGCAUGACAUCAGUGGGACCAUAGCACCCACUAGAAAUUCAGUUGUCGUAUUAGGAUUUUCGUUUCUCC
Molecule: long non-coding RNA, 272 nt
Filed under: Elaeis guineensis (African oil palm)
Lineage: Eukaryota; Viridiplantae; Streptophyta; Magnoliopsida; Arecales; Arecaceae
Description: long non-coding RNA (EGUI_LNC044131)
Source: RNAcentral